GGACCGACACCGCCGAGUCGCUUGCGAGCGAGCCGGGGACCCAGGUUCCCCCGGGGUGAGUCCGCAGCCAAUGCGGUAGGGCGCCAACUUCCCGCCCGAACCCGUCAGCUAACCCGGUAGGCGGUCAGGAAGAAGGA
RNAcentral lists this small RNA (137 nucleotides) under Micromonospora lupini. RNAcentral describes it as "c-di-AMP sequence". It matches the Rfam family "c-di-AMP riboswitch aptamer (ydaO/yuaA leader)". Rfam says of the family: This family represents a conserved RNA structure found upstream of the ydaO and yuaA genes in Bacillus subtilis and related genes in other bacteria. The ydaO/yuaA element is thought to act as a genetic "off" switch for the ydaO and yuaA genes in its native state. RNAcentral also lists the same sequence under 1 other name. The record is from RNAcentral. Lineage: Bacteria; Bacillati; Actinomycetota; Actinomycetes; Micromonosporales; Micromonosporaceae.